UUCAACCUAUUACUUUACUUAGCUACCUUUUGAAAGUCGACCUUUGUGUACUACCUACCCUUAUCAUCUAAGUCUAUAUAGGACCCACACAGUGUAUUAAUAUUGGCCCUGCCAGGCCCCCUUAGAAGGGUUUUGAUCAACCAACCACGCUUAUUAUACAUACCCCUCUCAUAACGAUGUUUUGGGUUAUCCUUGGAAUCUAAUUUUCACCCAAUACUCCGAGUACCAUCCAAAAAGGAAAAAGAUAUGUCUGUCAAGUUUGGUUGAACUCAACGUUCUACACGUCUAAAGCUCAUGAAAUUCUUGUGAUAUAUAUAGUAUGUAGCAAGUCCAAGUUACAAGACACCACCUCCUCCUCCACCAAUCAAGGUGUCACCACCUCCUUCACCAGUCAAGGUGCUACCGCCGCCUCCACCAAUUAAGGCCACAACCCCACCUCCACCAGUUGAGGUUCUACCGCCGCCUCCACCUACCUCACCCACACCAAAAACUAAACUUGGUAAGUUCUUACUAGUUACUACGAGUGCUUCAAGAUUCAAGCUAUCGAUGAAAAUUAGAUAAUGUACUUGUUUAUUGUCUUUGUAGAGUGCAACCCCCUAUGCAUCGAAAGGUGCAAGUUGCAUUCUCGGAAGAGAUUAUGCAUGAGAGCGUGCAUGACUUGUUGUGACCGAUGCAAAUGCGUUCCUCCCGGGCAAUACGGAAACAAAGAAAAAUGUGGCAAAUGCUACACAGAUAUGACUACUCAUGGUGGAAAGUCGAAAUGUCCUUGAAUGAGGAUUGAGGGCACACUUGGAAUAACAAUAUUAAUAAGAACCAAUUUUUUUCUUCCUCGAUGUUAUUCGGUGUCGUCUAUUACUCUUUAUCAAACAUAUCAUUAUAUGCAUUCCUGCUUAUUUCAAUGAACAAAUGUUACUUGCAUGAGCUAAAUGCACAAUUUUGAGCACUAAAUAAAGGGAAAUACCGACUCUUGUUUCAACUUUUUAAGAUA
This 988-nucleotide long non-coding RNA is filed under the name Olea europaea subsp. europaea. Lineage: Eukaryota; Viridiplantae; Streptophyta; Magnoliopsida; Lamiales; Oleaceae. The record is from RNAcentral.